Molecule: long non-coding RNA, 802 nt
Filed under: Heterocephalus glaber (naked mole-rat)
Lineage: Eukaryota; Metazoa; Chordata; Mammalia; Rodentia; Bathyergidae
Description: lncRNA (ENSHGLG00000033076.1)
Source: RNAcentral
ACAGCUGAGUGGACACUCAUGAAAACAAGCCCCUGACUCCACCAAAAUGGCUGCAGUGGUCCCCUCUUUCCAUUCAGAAAAGGCACCACCCUAGUGAGUUCUGGAUCCACCCCCGAUUUGUGCAUUUGUGUAAUGUCCCCCGGGGCCACUGAACCUGCCCAAGGACAUGCCCACCAACCCUCAGCAUGCAGACAUCUGCACCCCUGUCCUUCUUCCACCCCAGAAGCCUUCCGGGAAAUGGAGACAGGAAAGACAACUGGGCCUUGGACAGAAGAGAGGAGGCGGACAGGAGGCGGACAGGGUCACACAGUCACCCAGGGCAUGACUCGGAGAAGAGGAGGUGUUUCAGGGCCAUGCUAUUGCUUGAUGGCUAAGUUGCCCAGAUUGGACUUGAAUUGUGGUCUUCCUGCUUCAGGCUCCAAGAGUUCUGGAUUACAGUGACACAGAAGAAUGCACAGAUUAUAAGUGUGCAACGUGACCAGCGUUCACACGUGGGCACCCUCGUGCACUUCUUCAAGAUGCUGGGCAACCCUGGAUGGGGGCGCGGUCGCAGACUGCAUCUCAUCAGUAAGGAAAUAAAGAGCGGGAGGUUGGGGGGAGCUUUCUGAGGUUCCCAGGUAGGAAGCCGCAUGCAGGGAAGACCCAGGCCGGGUCUCCUGGUCCCACACUUGGGGAGUAGCUCUGAGCCCCUGGUGGAUUGGGGUGAAGGCUGGGAGCAGGGAAAUAAGAAGCUGACAUUGAAGUCAGAUGGGCCCAGAAGGGACAAUGGCACAGGGAGGGGCAGCGCGUAGGGCUGGGCAGG